RNAcentral lists this ribosomal RNA (253 nucleotides) under uncultured bacterium. RNAcentral's name for it is "partial 16S ribosomal RNA". It matches the Rfam family "Bacterial small subunit ribosomal RNA", at positions 524 to 776 of the family's 1533-position model. The record is from RNAcentral.
UACGGAGGGUGCGAGCGUUGUUCGGAAUUACUGGGCGUAAAGCGCGUGCAGGCGGCCGACUAAGUCAGGUGUGAAAGCCCGGGGCUCACCUCCGGAAGUGCGCUUGAAACUGGUCGGCUAGAGUACGGGAGAGGGAAGCGGAAUUCCUGGUGUAGCGGUGAAAUGCGUAGAUAUCAGGAGGAACACCGGCGGCGAAGGCGGGUUGCUAGGCUGACACUGACGCUGAGGCGCGAAAGCGUGGGGAGCGAACAGG